GCGUAAUGAAUGUAGUAUCGGUGUGGAUUCGUGGAGGCACUGGUCCUCUGGUCGGUGAUUUGCAGGGAAUCAACGCGGGCGUACCACUCCGGUGAAGCCGUCCGCACUCCCACCAAAUUGAUGCACACCACGAACGCCCAAGCCUUGCUAGAUGCCGGUAGCCCUGCGGUGCUGGACGACAGAGAAGAACCGGCCGGUGGCGGCAACAAAUUCUCCGCCCAAGGAGGUAGCGCACGGACGUAUGGUGGGACGCCAAGCACAUGGACAAAGGGAGGCGAGAGAUGAACGGGAUGAGUAGAUAUAGCGCGGGCGACACCCACGACUAGGGAACAGACUUCCCCAGGAUUCACGGCGAGGUCCCGCAAUUACCGGCAAGGUCGUGGCAAGCAGGUGCUGACAUUACGGGUCCACGUGAUAGAGUAACGCGCAGUGCAGAAGCAGCUGGCGCGUGGGGCCAGUGACGCAGCAAUAGCCAGCGCGCGGAAGUGAUAGAGCGGCUGUGGGUGACUGGCGCAUAGGCCUG
This 523-nucleotide long non-coding RNA is filed under the name Zea mays. RNAcentral's name for it is "long non-coding RNA NONZMAT001271". The record is from RNAcentral. Lineage: Eukaryota; Viridiplantae; Streptophyta; Magnoliopsida; Poales; Poaceae.